UACAGAGGUGACAAACGUUGUCCGGAAUUAUUGGGCGUAAAGGGCGCGUAGGUGGUUGAGUAAGUCAGGUGUGAAAGCUCUGGGCUUAACCCAGGAAUUGCAUCUGAUACUGCUCGGCUUGAGUACGGUAGAGGAGGGUGGAAUUCCCAGUGUAGCGGUGAAAUGCGUAGGUAUUGGGAGGAACACCGGUGGCGAAGGCGGCCCUCUGGACCGAAACUGACACUGAAGCGCGAAAGCUAGGGGAGCAAACGGG
This 253-nucleotide ribosomal RNA is filed under the name uncultured bacterium. RNAcentral's name for it is "partial 16S ribosomal RNA". It matches the Rfam family "Bacterial small subunit ribosomal RNA", at positions 524 to 776 of the family's 1533-position model. The record is from RNAcentral.